AACGAACGCUGGCGGCAUGCCUAACACAUGCAAGUCGAACGAGACCUUCGGGUCUAGUGGCGCAUGGGUGCGUAACGCGUGGGAACCUGCCCUUAGGUUCGGAAUAACUCCCCGAAAGGGGUGCUAAUACCGGAUAAUGUCUUCGGACCAAAGAUUUAUCGCCUUUGGAUGGGCCCGCGUUGGAUUAGCUAGUUGGUAGGGUAAAAGCCUACCAAGGCGACGAUCCAUAGCUGGUCUGAGAGGAUGAUCAGCCACACUGGGACUGAGACACGGCCCAGACUCCUACGGGAGGCAGCAGUGGGGAAUAUUGGACAAUGGGCGAAAGCCUGAUCCAGCAAUGCCGCGUGAGUGAUGAAGGCCUUAGGGUUGUAAAGCUCUUUUACCCGGGAUGAUAAUGACAGUACCGGGAGAAUGAGCUCCGGCUAACUCCGU
RNAcentral lists this ribosomal RNA (432 nucleotides) under uncultured bacterium. RNAcentral describes it as "partial 16S ribosomal RNA". It matches the Rfam family "Bacterial small subunit ribosomal RNA", at positions 29 to 506 of the family's 1533-position model. The record is from RNAcentral.